This 790-nucleotide ribosomal RNA is filed under the name uncultured bacterium. RNAcentral's name for it is "bacterial SSU rRNA". It matches the Rfam family "Bacterial small subunit ribosomal RNA", at positions 8 to 796 of the family's 1533-position model. The record is from RNAcentral.
AGAGUUUGAUCCUGGCUCAGGAUGAACGCUAGCGGCAGUAAUACAUGCAAGUCGAGGGGCAGCAGGGGUAGCAAUACCCGCUGGCGACCGGCAAACGGGUGCGGAACACGUACACAACCUUCCUUUAAGUGGGGAAUAGCCCAGAGAAAUUUGGAUUAAUACCCCGUAAUAUUAUUGAGUGGCAUCAUUUAGUAAUUAAAGCUCCGGCGCUUGAAGAUGGGUGUGCGUCUGAUUAGGUAGUUGGUAGGGGUAACGGCCCACCAAGCCAACGAUCAGUAACUGGUGUGAGAGCACGACCAGUCACACGGGCACUGAGACACGGGCCCGACUCCUACGGGAGGCAGCAGUAAGGAAUAUUGGUCAAUGGACGCAAGUCUGAACCAGCCAUGCCGCGUGGAGGAUGAAGGUCCUCUGGAUUGUAAACUUCUUUUAUCUGGGAAGAAACCCGUUUUUUCUAAGACGGUUGACGGUACCAGAUGAAUAAGCACCGGCUAACUCCGUGCCAGCAGCCGCGGUAAUACGGAGGGUGCAAGCGUUAUCCGGAUUCACUGGGUUUAAAGGGUGCGUAGGUGGGCAGUUAAGUCAGUGGUGAAAUCUCCGGGCUUAACCCGGAAACUGCCAUUGAUACUAUCUGUCUUGAAUGCCGUGGAGGUAAGCGGAAUAUGUCUGUAGCGGUGAAAUGCUUAGAUAUGACAUAGAACACCAAUUGCGAAGGCAGCUUACUACACGAAUAUUGACACUGAGGCACGAAAGCGUGGGGAUCAAACAGGAUUAGAUACCCUAGUAGUCC